Molecule: ribosomal RNA, 497 nt
Filed under: uncultured bacterium
Lineage: Bacteria
Description: partial 16S ribosomal RNA
Rfam family: Bacterial small subunit ribosomal RNA
Source: RNAcentral
GAUGAACGCUGGCGGCGUGCCUAAUACAUGCAAGUCGAGCGAACAGAUGAGGAGCUUGCUCCUCUGACGUUAGCGGCGGACGGGUGAGUAACACGUGGAUAACCUACCUAUAAGACUGGGAUAACUUCGGGAAACCGGAGCUAAUACCGGAUAAUAUAUUGAACCGCAUGGUUCAAUAGUGAAAGACGGUUUUGCUGUCACUUAUAGAUGGAUCCGCGCCGCAUUAGCUAGUUGGUAAGGUAACGGCUUACCAAGGCAACGAUGCGUAGCCGACCUGAGAGGGUGAUCGGCCACACUGGAGCUGAGACACGGUCCAGACUCCUACGGGAGGCAGCAGUAGGGAAUCUGCCGCAAUGGGCGGAAGCCUGACGGAGCAACGCCGCGUGAGUGAUGAAGGUCUUCCGAGCGUAAAACUCUGUUAUUAGGGAAGAACAAAUGUGUAAGUAACUAUGCACGUCUUGACGGUACCUAAUCAGAAAGCCACGGCUAACUACGUG